Molecule: ribosomal RNA, 250 nt
Filed under: uncultured prokaryote
Description: partial 16S ribosomal RNA
Rfam family: Bacterial small subunit ribosomal RNA
Source: RNAcentral
UACGGAGGAUGCGAGCGUUAUCCGGAUUCAUUGGGUUUAAAGGGUGCGCAGGCGGACCGGUAAGUCGGCGGUGAAAUCCACACGCCCAACGUGUGAAGCGCCGUUGAUACUGCCGGACUGGUAUGCCGGGGGCGCGGCCGGAAUGUGUCGUGUAGCGGUGAAAUGCAUAGAUAUGACACAGAACGCCGAUCGUGAAGACAGGUCGCGAACCGGAGAUAGACGCUCAAGCACGAAAGCGUGGGGAUCGAAC